GUAGGUGGCAAGCGUUGUCCGGGAAUUAUUGGGGCGUAAAGCGCGCGCAGGCGGUUCUUUAAGUCUGAUGUGAAAGCCCACGGGCUCAACCGUGGAGGGUCAUUGGAAACUGGAGAACUUGAGUACAGAAGAGGAAAGCGGAAUUCCACGUGUAGCGGUGAAAUGCGUAGAGAUGUGGAGGAACACCAGUGGCGAAGGCGGCUUUCUGGUCUGUAACUGACGCUGAGGCGCGAAAGCGUGGGGAGCAAACAGGAUUAGACACCCUGGUAGUCCACGCCGUAAACGAUGAGUGCUAAGCGUUAGGGGGUUUCCGCCCCUUAGUGCUGCAGCUAACGCAUUAAGCACUCCGCCUGGGGAGUACGGCCGCAAAGGCUG
This 375-nucleotide ribosomal RNA is filed under the name uncultured organism. Its description in RNAcentral is "partial 16S ribosomal RNA". It matches the Rfam family "Bacterial small subunit ribosomal RNA", at positions 527 to 896 of the family's 1533-position model. The record is from RNAcentral.